GCCUUCUUAGCUCAGUGGUAGAGCGUUGCACUUGUAUAAUGAGAUUCAAUUGAAAAUGCAAAGGUCAGUCGUUCAAUCCGGCUAGGAGGCA
This is a non-coding RNA of Lentinula aff. lateritia, 91 nucleotides long. The record is from the annotation of a GenBank genome assembly. Lineage: Eukaryota; Fungi; Basidiomycota; Agaricomycetes; Agaricales; Omphalotaceae.